ACGUCACAGUUCCUUCGAUACGCAUAGCAACGAUCCCACUGGGGACAAACAAAAGUAGCGUCGUCUCCACCGAACCAGUUGUCAGUGGCAACAUAUAGGAAUCGUGUACAUUUCUUCGUUUCUUCUUUGCUGUUUUCAGUGAGUGUUUUGUUUUCUCUUUGUCCUUGAUCUCGACGGCGUUAUCGUGCUCAUUACCUUACUGAGACGUCUCUUGUGACUGUAGCCAGUGUCACGGAGGAUUUUAUUGGCGUGACGAGGUAGAUCGCCGAGAUCGAGCGUGAAAACGCUCUGCAUUAGUAGCUCCUGUAGAAUGUCUUCUGGGAUGGCGUAUCCAUGGUCAACAAAGCCAAGGUGCAAGACAGCAUAAGAGAUCGUGUAAACGAUGUGAACUCCAAAAGGUUCAAGGCUAGAUGCACUUCACAUUCGGCGUGGGAUCUCGGCGUCUGGGACCUGAUAACGUCUUGGUUGGAUGGGUGAUCAAGGAUGAUACUACUCGGCACACCAAUGUACAUGUCAAUGUAGUUUUUACUUUUUCAGAGCUGCACUAUUUACGUCUUGAUGCUUACUUCGGUGCUAGAGUCGUGUUUUUUUUUCCUCUACAAAA
Sycon ciliatum is the source of this 604-nucleotide long non-coding RNA. RefSeq lists it as uncharacterized. The transcript is spliced from 2 exons. The record is from RefSeq and is a predicted model, not a curated record. Lineage: Eukaryota; Metazoa; Porifera; Calcarea; Leucosolenida; Sycettidae.